GCAUUGGGCUUAUGCUUAGGCUUUGCUUUUUUACUUGAGCAGAAAAAAGCAAAAGAAAAGAAGAGAAGGAAGAAAAGGAGAAUUUCGUCACUAUCUUAACCUCUCUCUCUCUCUCUCUCUCUCUCUCUCUCUCUCUCUCUCUCUCU
This 146-nucleotide non-coding RNA is filed under the name Phaeomonas parva. Lineage: Eukaryota; Pinguiophyceae; Pinguiochrysidales; Pinguiochrysidaceae. The record is from RNAcentral.